Oryzias latipes (Japanese medaka) is the source of this 515-nucleotide long non-coding RNA. RefSeq lists it as uncharacterized. The record is from RefSeq and is a predicted model, not a curated record. NCBI's taxonomy places the organism in Eukaryota, Metazoa, Chordata, Actinopteri, Beloniformes, Adrianichthyidae.
GAGGUUCUUACCUCGGGGACCAUCCCCUCCACUUGACCAGGUACUCGACUCUUCCCUGUGGAAGACAAACGCGUUACUCCCUUCUUGAAGGAGGGCGAGGAGGAGCGCGCGCGGAGGAGAUGUCACCUUGCUCCCGUUGUCUCCUCCGUUCCGCCUCCUCCUCCGGUGCAGAAACUCGAACCCUCCGCCUCCCGACGUUCCCCGCUGCUCCCCUUUUGACGGAGUCGCUCAGGAAAGCGAGUUGGAGCUGCAGCCAGAAAGCACUUCAUGCAAAUAACCGUCGGUGUGACGUCUUACGAAGAGGGAGGUCGCGGGGGCGGGGCUAGGUCUUGUGCUGCUUUCAAGGCUGUCGGAGAAAACGGAAUCACGACUUUCAAAAGGAUCUCCAGCCGCUGCACUUAGAUUCAGAGACCAACUCCGAUGAAAAUUGCUUUUUGCUGUUGUUGUUUUAAAAUGUUCUUGUAGCAUUUUUUUCUGGUGAUGGAGGAGAAUUAAUAAAGAUAGUUAAUCUCAAA